CCAUGCUGAGGGUUAUUGGAGACA
This 24-nucleotide non-coding RNA is filed under the name Cricetulus griseus (Chinese hamster). Lineage: Eukaryota; Metazoa; Chordata; Mammalia; Rodentia; Cricetidae. The record is from RNAcentral.